Molecule: non-coding RNA, 935 nt
Organism: Cinara cedri
Lineage: Eukaryota; Metazoa; Arthropoda; Insecta; Hemiptera; Aphididae
Source: the annotation of a GenBank genome assembly
UGACUGUUUUUGUCCUCGAUCAAUUGAAUAAGUUUUCAAUAUAGGUGGGUAAACAAAAUAACAAUAAAUCACAUUUUGUUUUUGGAUUUGUAUUUUGGUAGUACUGCAUGGAUACGCGCUUAUCUCCAAUUUUUGAAAAAUUACCAGACGGAACGGAUUUGACUUACAAAUUCCAAAAAUCAACUUAUAAACAUUUACAAAUGAAGAUUUUAAACUUACAAUCAGUCCGAUUCGAUUUGAUUGAUAUGGGGAAGGGGGCAACUACACACACGUAAUAUAAUAAAAAUUUGUGAGAACAGAUAAGUAGUAGGAUAUUAUUGUCAAUAUAAUAUUAUAAUCACCGAGAAAUUCGAUCUAAAAAUAGAAAUUAAUAAUUAUUAUUAUUAAACUCGAAAUAAAAACCAUAAAAAAUAUUUAUGGAUAUUUAUUUACAUUAUUAUUGACAGGGCGACAAAGUAGAUGUAAUGGUUUUAUACGCCAUUUUACGAGAGAACGGUAACUGACGAAAACUCUUUCAUGUUUACGCAUCCACACGCCUUAUACUAUCCCCACAACAUUUUUAUCUAGAAGACAGCAACAGCGAGUGAACACGUUUUAGUUUGUAGGUACGUAGCGCUCGUCCAUGGCCCGCAGUGGAAAACUGAUCCAUCCAUUUCUCUCCGGGUAACAGGAGAACGACCGAAAAUCUAGAACGAAACAUACAAAUCUCGUCCACACUGCAAACCUGAUAAAUAUUGUUUCUAGAAAGUUAAUGUCCUCAGUAUAAACCUAAAACGUAAAACUUUUCUAAUUGAAAAACCACGUAGGUUAAAGUAUAUGGGUAAAAGCCAAAAGUCACGUCGAGUAUUAGGUCACAUUUUGAUGUAUAUUCUGUCCAUCAUGGUUCAGGGUUAUCAAUUCAUUGAUAUUAAAUUCGUACCGAUACUAAAUUAAAA